GUCGCUUUGGCCGAGUGGUUAAGGCGUGUGCCUGCUAAGUACGUGGAGUUUCCCCGCGAGAGUUCGAAUCUCUCAGGCGACG
RNAcentral lists this transfer RNA (82 nucleotides) under Olea europaea subsp. europaea. It matches the Rfam family "tRNA". Rfam says of the family: Transfer RNA (tRNA) molecules are approximately 80 nucleotides in length. Lineage: Eukaryota; Viridiplantae; Streptophyta; Magnoliopsida; Lamiales; Oleaceae. The record is from Rfam by way of RNAcentral.